This 446-nucleotide ribosomal RNA is filed under the name uncultured bacterium. RNAcentral's name for it is "partial 16S ribosomal RNA". It matches the Rfam family "Bacterial small subunit ribosomal RNA", at positions 338 to 795 of the family's 1533-position model. The record is from RNAcentral.
CCUACGGGUGGCUGCAGUCGAGAAUCAUUCACAAUGGGGGAAACCCUGAUGGUGCGACGCCGCGUGGGGGAAUGAAGGUCUUCGGAUUGUAAACCCCUGUCAUGUGGGAGCAAAUUAAAAAGAUAGUACCACAAGAGGAAGAGACGGCUAACUCUGUGCCAGCAGCCGCGGUAAUACAGAGGUCUCAAGCGUUGUUCGGAAUCACUGGGCGUAAAGCGUGCGUAGGCUGUUUCGUAAGUCGGGUGUGAAAGGCGCGGGCUCAACCCGCGGACGGCACAUGAUACUGGGAGACUAGAGUAAGGGAGGGGGAACCGGAAUUCUCGGUGUAGCAGUGAAAUGCGUAGAUAUCGAGAGGAACACUCGUGGCGAAGGCGGGUUCCUGGACAUUAACUGACGCUGAGGCACGAAGGCCAGGGGAGCGAAAGGGAUUAGAUACCCCUGUAGUC